GACUGCCCGAGGGGUCAGGCGAACCUGCGGACACCUUCCAGAAUAUUAAUUGUGGGAAGGUGCACAUUGAAUUGUGUCGCCUCCAUCUUCAUGGUUAAAGAGUAAGUCGAAAAAGACACCAGAAUGAAGCAGGCACCGAACAGAAUUCUGCUCGCUGCCCUAUGCUGAAGAAGACAUGUUCUUUCCAAACGUAGGUUGAAAUUCAACUGACUUCACGGAGGUACAUCCCAGAACCACCGCUGUGAGAUCUUCAAAUUUCUACAAGAUCCUGACCAAUUCGCUCUUCACUAUUAUCCAGCCAUUAGACACUUAUAACGUCGUUAAACAUAUAAAGGUAAAAUUAAC
This is a long non-coding RNA of Cryptotermes secundus, 345 nucleotides long. RefSeq lists it as uncharacterized. NCBI's taxonomy places the organism in Eukaryota, Metazoa, Arthropoda, Insecta, Blattodea, Kalotermitidae. The record is from RefSeq and is a predicted model, not a curated record. The transcript has 3 exons.